Molecule: long non-coding RNA, 1023 nt
Organism: Homo sapiens (human)
Lineage: Eukaryota; Metazoa; Chordata; Mammalia; Primates; Hominidae
Exons: 2
Source: RefSeq, a predicted model, not a curated record
AAGCUCUUCUUGGAGUCUCAGGAGCUGCAGAGAGCAAGCUGGGCUUCCUGGAGGAGGAGGCGUGAGAGUUGGGCCUUGAAGCACUCAGCAGCUGUUUCCUGAGCUGAUGUACAUCUCAUUAGUCUAUCAAGCUCCAACAGCCAAGGCCAAGGCCCCCAGAAUGAAAAACUGACGCAGCCACCCCUUCCUGUGCCAGAGACAGGAGAAGGGAGGGAGACUGACGGCCUUUGUUCUCUGAGCAAGACCGUAAAGCACUUCGCCUACAGGCCACAAGAGGGCGAUGGUGGUCCACACAUAAGAUCUUCCCAAAGAGCCAGCCAAAAACGCCUGCCUGGAGAAUCUGGAGGUUGUGAAAGGUGACUUUGUUAAGGAAGGGCGAUGGCCCUUCUCCCUGCCCCAGAGCUCUGAAAGCCUUUAAAGUGGCUUUAGCAGCGUGGUUUAAGAAUGGCUCCUUCGGUACAAGGACGGCCAUCACUGCUUCUCCUACUGUGUUUGAUGCCAGCGUUCUUCCCGUCUGCAGGGAAGGACGGAGAGUGAGGAGGGCACACAGGACGUAGCUGGCUCCUGGCCAUGGACGGUGACCGCUCUGGGGCCAGCAGGGUAGAGCUGCCUUCCUACAUCUGAGAACUCAAGGGCGAGAGGGAGGCAGGGCAGGGGAGAGGGUUGGUCUCAGUUCACAGGGCGACCCUCUGGCCCUGGUUCUGACGGCGACUCGCUGUGUAAGCUAAGGAGUGUCUCGCUCUGUACAGCGGGCAGGUGGUGGGUCUCUGCACGUCCAGCAUCUCCAGCUUUCCGUCCUCUGAGCUGUUUUGACAUGGGAGGCGCUGGCAGGGAGAGAGGGGUCACUGAUGUGGGAAGCUGGUGCAGAGCUGGGGAGUAGCUUGUGAUGCUGGAGAACCUGGAGAUGCCCCUCCCAUUCCUUGGGCCUCGACUGUCUCAUCUGUGGAAUGGGCGGGUCAGACUGGAUAAUCUCUAACCAUUGCUUCCCUUCACUUCUGUCCCAAUAAACACACACGGAGCUUU